AACGAACGCUGGCGGCAGGCUUAACACAUGCAAGUCGAGCGCAUCCUUCGGGGUGAGCGGCAGACGGGUGAGUAACGCGUGGGAACGUACCCUUUCCUACGGAAUAGCUCAGGGAAACUGGAAUUAAUACCGUAUACGCCCUUAGGGGGAAAGAUUUAUCGGGGAAGGAUCGGCCCGCGUUGGAUUAGCUAGUUGGUGGGGUAAAGGCCUACCAAGGCGACGAUCCAUAGCUGGUCUGAGAGGAUGAUCAGCCACAUUGGGACUGAGACACGGCCCAAACUCCUACGGGAGGCAGCAGUGGGGAAUAUUGGACAAUGGGCGCAAGCCUGAUGCAGCCAUGCCGCGUGAGUGAUGAAGGCCUUAGGGUUGUAAAGCUCUUUCAGUGGGGAAGAUAAUGACGGUACCUACAGAAGAAGCCCCGGCUAACUUCGUGCCAGCCGCCGCGGUAA
This 449-nucleotide ribosomal RNA is filed under the name uncultured bacterium. Its description in RNAcentral is "partial 16S ribosomal RNA". It matches the Rfam family "Bacterial small subunit ribosomal RNA", at positions 29 to 523 of the family's 1533-position model. The record is from RNAcentral.